This 468-nucleotide ribosomal RNA is filed under the name uncultured bacterium. Its description in RNAcentral is "partial 16S ribosomal RNA". It matches the Rfam family "Bacterial small subunit ribosomal RNA", at positions 28 to 507 of the family's 1533-position model. The record is from RNAcentral.
GACGAACGCUGGCGGCGUGCUUAACACAUGCAAGUCGAACGGAAAGGCCCUGCUUUGGUGGGGUGCUCGAGUUGCGAACGGGUGAGUAACACGUGAGUAACCUGCCCUUGACUUUGGGAUAACUUCAGGAAACUGGGGCUAAUACCGGAUAGGAGCUCCUGCUGCAUGGUGGGGGUUGGAAAGUUUCGGCGGUUGGGGAUGGACUCGCGGCGUAUCAGCUUGUUGGGUGGGUAGUGGCUUACCAAGGCAUUGACGGGUAGCCGGCCUGAGAGGGUGACCUGCCACAUUGGGACUGAGCUACGGCCCAGACUAGUACGGGAGGCAACGGUGGGGAAUAUUGCACAGUGGGCGGGAGGCUGGUGCGACCACGCCACGUGCGGGAUGACGGCCUUCGGGUUGUAAACCGCAUUCGCCUGUGACGAAGCGUGAGUGACGGUAAUGGGUGAAGAAGCACCGGCUAACUACGUG